CAGUUCUUCUUGGUCAUCUCUACUAGUUUCGAUUUAUUCCCUAACUUGAGGGAGAUGACUGCAGUAGCUGCUGCAGAGUUGGUGACUGACUUCUUUGGAGGCAAUCUUGUUUAUGUUUGGACACAGAAUCACCACUGCUUCGUGCCUGCUGUUCCUUCUAAUUGCUUCACACUAUCGGCAUAUGACUACACUGUGAGAAACAAAUGCCAAACAGUGAAGGUCAAGAAGGCCAAAGUGAUAUAUGCAAGUUCAAAAAGUAGAAGAAGCUUUUACACAGAGAAAUAUCAACCAGCCAGCUUUUCAUGACUGAUGCAUGAAAAUAUCAUCCACCUUUGUCUCUGAGCAUACUUUGGCUUUGAAUCUUAGUGAUAUUACAUGUAAUGUUGUGGCUAGAUAUUUCAAUUUCAGAAACAAAUGAUUCCACUGAAUAGUAAGACAUUUUCCAACUGGACAGUAAUUCAUAAGGAGAUGGUUCAGAAAUCAUAAGCUUUAUUAUGAAAAGGCAAGGAAAUCCAACCCUAGAUGGAGGUAACUUGGAAAGAGAGAUUGGUUAUUUUGUGUAACUCUAAAGGGAAUAACUAGGACUAAUAAGUCAAAGCUUUUGGAAGAAAAUUUCUAUGUAACAUGCAGAAAUUUCGAACAGUUGAUCAGUUGCUUUUGUUGUUAUUGUUAGAGACAGGAUCUCACUAUGUUGCCCAGGCUUGAUUCUAAGCACCAUUUCCCCCGCCCCCACCCCUGCCCCCAGCUCAAGCAAUCCUCCUGCCUUAGCCUCUUGAGUAGCUGGGACUAUGGGUGCACACCAUGGCACCAGGUACAUUUCUAACAGCUCAAAGUGUUAUAAAGGAAUAGGUCACCUAGUAGCAUGGUCAGUGGUGUCUGUAAGACUUCUCGUCUGUCGGGCUGUGGUAUGGAAUUGAAGUGGAUGAUCACUAAGAAAUGGAGGGAAUGAAUUUCAGAAGGGGUGGGGAGUUGCAGGGUGUUGGUUCAAUAGCUGUCUUAUCAAUGGAGCUGAGAAUGAAAACCUAGGAAAAGUGACAUUGGUGCUAGAAGAGAACUGGGCCAUCCACUUCAUAGACCGUCUGCUAAUUUGUUGCUCAUUUGCUGGUGAAACUUGGGAAGGUAAUGGAUAUGUAUGAGCUCUCUCAAAACUUGCCUUGUUGCCUAAUGAAUAUAUUUGACUUUUCUAACUCCAGGUAUCUUUAAAAGUUCCUAAUUUCCUGAUAGACUUGUAAAACCACGCAAACCCACCAAGCCCUUAUUCUGUUUCCAAGACCACCUUUCAGGUGUGUCACCCUGUUGACAAGUUAUUUGGAACUCUAUUGACCUUGUCUCAUUAUUGGAACUUUUCUAGUAUCUUGAAUGCAGGUGGAAGGAAAGGAGGCAAUAACAAUGAAAAAUAAAACCACAACAGCAUGAUUUAUUAUAGUACAUAUUUCUCAGAAGAGACAAAAACAGUAUCAAUGAAGAGCAAUCAUAGAAGGUUCACAGUUGCCUCAGCACCAACUCAAAAAUUCACAGGGGGUUGGCAUCACAUAAACAGCUGGCGAAAAGCAGUUAAAUGAUUUUCUACAUGCUCUUAGGGAGAGACUGUGUCUAAUCUGAUGCAGUUGCUCCAAAGGAGAGCAGCUAAUGACAUCUACACCAAAUAUCAGUUCAAUAAAUCGCUUCCUUUCAUUAAUCUGAGUGUCGGUAUCUGAAUUAAUGGUGCUAACAGAGCAGAAGGUCUAAAGGAGAGAUAAUAAGGACCUGUUUUUCG
Macaca mulatta (Rhesus monkey) is the source of this 1756-nucleotide long non-coding RNA. The record is from Ensembl. Lineage: Eukaryota; Metazoa; Chordata; Mammalia; Primates; Cercopithecidae.